AUGAACGCUGGCGGCGUGCCUAAUACCUGCAAGUCGCGCGCACGGACGAGAAGCUUGCUUCUCUGAUGUUAGCGGCGGACGGGUGAGUAACACGUGGAUAACCUACCUAUAAGACUGGGAUAACUUCGGGAAACCGGAGCUAAUACCGGAUAAUAUUUUGAACCGCAUGGUUCAAAAGUGAAAGACGGUCUUGCUGUCACUUAUAGAUGGAUCCGCGCUGCAUUAGCUAGUUGGUAAGGUAACGGCUUACCAAGGCAACGAUGCAUAGCCGACCUGAGAGGGGGAUCGGCCACACUGGAACUGAGACACGGUCCAGACUCCUACGGGAGGCAGCAGUAGGGAAUCUUCCGCAAUGGGCGAAAGCCUGACGGAGCAACGCCGCGUGAGUGAUGAAGGUCUUCGGAUCGUAAAACUCUGUUAUUAGGGAAGAACAUAUGUGUAAGUAACUGUGCACAUCUUGACGGUACCUAAUCAGAAAGCCACGGCUAACUACGUG
This 496-nucleotide ribosomal RNA is filed under the name uncultured bacterium. Its description in RNAcentral is "partial 16S ribosomal RNA". It matches the Rfam family "Bacterial small subunit ribosomal RNA", at positions 29 to 507 of the family's 1533-position model. The record is from RNAcentral.